RNAcentral lists this ribosomal RNA (165 nucleotides) under uncultured bacterium. RNAcentral describes it as "partial 16S rRNA". It matches the Rfam family "Bacterial small subunit ribosomal RNA", at positions 355 to 511 of the family's 1533-position model. The record is from RNAcentral.
UAGGGAAUCUUUCCACAAUGGACGAAAGUCUGAUGGAGCAACGCCGCGUGAGUGAAGAAGGGUUUCGGCUCGUAAAACUCUGUUGUUAAAGAAGAACAUAUCUGAGAGUAACUGUUCAGGUAUUGACGGUAUUUAACCAGAAAGCCACGGCUAAAUACGUGCCAG